CGUAGGUAACCUGCCUGGUAGCGGGGGAUAACUAUUGGAAACGAUAGCUAAUACCGCAUAACAUUGACUAUUGCAUGAUAGUCAAUUGAAAGGUGGCAAAUGCACCACUACCAGAUGGACCUGCGUUGUAUUAGCUAGUUGGUGGGGUAACGGCUCACCAAGGCGACGAUACAUAGCCGACCUGAGAGGGUGAUCGGCCACACUGGGACUGAGACACGGCCCAG
This 224-nucleotide ribosomal RNA is filed under the name uncultured bacterium. Its description in RNAcentral is "partial 16S ribosomal RNA". It matches the Rfam family "Bacterial small subunit ribosomal RNA", at positions 116 to 334 of the family's 1533-position model. The record is from RNAcentral.